AUGCGAGUCCUUAGAGCGCAAGAGUUCAGAGCAAAAUUCCGAACUUGCCAAGGCACUCCAAAGUGCACAAGAAGCCCAGGCCGAAGCCCAAAGCGCUGUUCGGGAGAUCCAAGAGGCAAGGCAAAUUGCGGCGGGUAA
RNAcentral lists this ribosomal RNA (138 nucleotides) under Triticum aestivum (bread wheat). Its description in RNAcentral is "partial small subunit ribosomal RNA". The record is from RNAcentral. Lineage: Eukaryota; Viridiplantae; Streptophyta; Magnoliopsida; Poales; Poaceae.